Papilio xuthus (Asian swallowtail) is the source of this 700-nucleotide long non-coding RNA. RefSeq lists it as uncharacterized. The record is from RefSeq and is a predicted model, not a curated record. The transcript is spliced from 2 exons. Lineage: Eukaryota; Metazoa; Arthropoda; Insecta; Lepidoptera; Papilionidae.
UGGUGCCAAGAAAAAUGUCUUUCAUCUCCUCAAAUAUUUCUCCAUUGAAGCAUCAGUACUGCACGGGACACCAGAUAAGAACGCGAUAUAUGCAAAUCAAGAAAAAGUCUCCCAACCUUCGCUUUGCCAGUUCUUGUCUGCCGUAAAUACGUUUUGAUUCAUCUCUCCUAGUUAAGGAGAUAUCAAAGAUUCUUGGAUAUUCGAAUCUUUUCAACUAUUUAAGCAAUGAAGGUCAUAUGUCUUCGUGGACUGCGAACCAAAGCUAACGAUUAAAACCAUACCAUAGAGAAGAAGAAGAAGAAGAAGAAGACAUUCUAUUCUCAUAGCUAAGAAGCUACAAUAGAAAAGAGCUACGAGUCUGCACAUUUGCGCAACGUAGUACCUGAGCUGCGCGAGUCGUCAAUUCAACACACGAUCUACUCGUAAAAAGGUGGUGGUGCCAAGAAAAAUGCCUUUCAUCUCCUCAAAUAUUUCUCCAUUGAAGCAUCAGUACUGCACGGCACACCAGAUAAGAACGCGAUAUAUGCAAAUCAAGAAAAAGUCUCCCAGCCUUCGCUUUGCCAGUUCUUGUCUACCGUAAAUAUGUUUUCAUUCAUCUCUAAAGAAGAAGAUAAGAAGAUAUCAAAGAUUCUUGAAUAUUCGAAUCUUUUCAACUAUUUAAGCAAUGACGGUCAUAUGUCUUCGUGGACUGCGAACCAAA